CUCAGUCUUCUGAAGAGUGGACAUAGAUCUUUAUGAAUGUGGAGACUCCACUGCAAGGACUGUUGCAGCUUUGGCGGGUACCCUAGGCUGCCACCUGGCUGGCCUGCCCUCAAGGAGGCUGCUUAAAUAAAGCGAGAGGACCAAAUACUGUUGGAAAGCCGCUCACUCCACACAGAAGCAGCAGGUGCUAUUGAUGUUUCCCUUCGUACAGAUGCGGCAGUAAAUAACAUACCCAAAGCCACGCAAGUGGAAGAAAGAGCCUUUAACGUGAGUCUGUGUGACCGCAACAUUUGAGUUCCUUCUGAUACCCCAUGGCGCCCUAAAAUGAAAUAUCCUGACAUAUUCUAUAAGGACUCAUCUCAUUUCAGGCUCUGAGAAAUUACUGGGAGCUUUUGACCUGGAUUUUGAGGCCCCCACCCUGCCCAGCUUGGCGCCGCUCUCGGAGCUAGCAUCCUGGUGCUGUGGGCAAGGGUGGCUCAUGAUCCCUGUACGUUGUGAGUGCUUGUACUUUGGGGUUUCCGGGACUCAACUGGCUGCAGAUAAAUUGGAAACUGCUGCUUCGGCUGCCUGCGGGGCGAGGCCUGAUGUCUUUGUGGUUCCGGUCGAUGACAAGGUGUAAAGUUAGAGGCGCUACUCUGCCCUCCCUUGAAGUAGCCGGCAUUUUGUUCGGGACCUCAAGUGGCGCCUGACCACCUCCGCCAGUCUUGGAGAUGACAGAUCCGUUUACAGCGCUGCCGAGUGAAGUCAUAUUAAGUCGUCCGUCUCUGCCAAAUGCUAUUCAUUGUGAGAUCUGCCUCAUAAUAAAGCAUGAUGGAUUGCUUCUUUUGGCCAGAGAAUAACUUAACCUCUGACUCGAGAUGGAGGCAUAAGCAAGAUCAGUUUCAGUUGUUGGAGAAAAAUGAAGUCCUUGUCCAGGCACACAGUCCACUGCAUGGAAAAUAUGGGGUCACUGUUCCUAAGAGGCAACUCCCUUUUUCCUGCAAGUUGAUUAUUUGUUGGUUUUACUGGAGACAGUCCUGCCUUGGAGACAGUGAUGCUCAUGGUGAGACUGGGGUGGGAAGGUUGGCUGAGGAAGAG
This 1077-nucleotide long non-coding RNA is filed under the name Bos indicus x Bos taurus (hybrid cattle). Its description in RNAcentral is "lncRNA (ENSBIXG00000014729.1)". The record is from RNAcentral. Lineage: Eukaryota; Metazoa; Chordata; Mammalia; Artiodactyla; Bovidae.